CUAUACUGAGCCGCACAGCUAGUCUCCUAGGCUUAGCCUUCCAUGAAUGCCAGCUUGGUUCCUUGGGUCUCAUUCAAAGGGGAAGAACAAGACAAUUUUGUGGUCCAUGGAGACUCCUUAUAUUAAAAAUAUAGAAAUCAAACAAGAUCCAGAACUUUAAAAAGCAUCUAAACAACAACAAAAGAAGAAGAAGAGGAAGAAGAAGAAGAAGAAGAAGAGAGAAAGAAAAAAAGAAAGAAAGAGAAAGAGAAAAGGUAAGAAACUUACCUUCAUCACACCCUUCAGCCAUGAUGUUCAGCCUUGCCGCAGGCCCAGAGUAACAGAGCCUUCCCACCAUGGGCUGAAUCCUCUGCAACUGCCUAUUUCUGGAAGAUAUAUCUACUAUGAAAUAAAUGAAGAAAUUUUAAGCUGAUUGGAAAAGAAUAGAACAUUCUUCCUUUAUCAUCAGCUAAACUCAUGUGCCUCAAAGCAUCUCAGAAGAGCCAUAGAAUUGGAGAAGAGAUGUUGCUGCUAGAAUGGAAAUGAAUACCCUACAUUUCUGGGCAUUCUGAUGACUGCUACAUACCAGAGCUCCAGAUGACAGUAGAUGGUGAUGAUUUUCCAGGGAGGUUUCUGCAGGAUGCCAUGGAGGCUCUCAGGCUGUGUUAUCAGAGUAGUCAAGGUUGGCUCAGAAAGUGCAGUUACCAGUCCAGGCAGAUCUGUUGUGUGGCUGUCAUCACCAUAGAGAGACAUUAGAAGAUUAGUGUUGAAAAGAAAGAACAUGAGAAAAGCAUGUACUCCUAAUUGAAUUGAGGUAUGUCAAAGUCAUCUUCUUUCAUUGGGAAAUUUUUCGUACUAGUUCACAACUUUCACCACCAGUAAGCAAGUCUUUGAGAAAGCAAUAACCUGAGGUAUGAUUCUUUUGCUCUCUACUAAAUCAAGGAAUGGAAUGCCCACCAAAGAUGGUAUGUGAUUUUUUUAAGGACUUGUUUUUAAAUUAAUGAAUGUCAUGAAGAGAAUGCACCACCUUGAGUGAGGGGUCCUGUACUAGUACUCCCAUUACUUGUGCAACUGUGUGGCAGAAUUUGAGAAAUGAAACCUGAAUGCUGCGAUUGCCUUGCUGUGGACAAGAUCACAUCCUGUGAGUGGCUGUGGGGAUGCCUUCUGGAGGAUAGAGGGUUUCCCUCUGCAAAUUUCCAUUCCAUCUAUAUGACCCUAUCUUCAAAAAAGGACUAUUUCCUUUUCUCAGAAAUGAGGUGAGAUUGGAGUCCUCAAUUCUGGCUAAAGAAGAGCAAAGUAAGUCUUCCUAUUUGCAGAAGUUAGGAUGUAGGGAGUUAAGGAAUGAGAGAGCCUUUGGGAAAACCCUAUGGAAAACUGUAGAUGGGGCUUCUAGGAAAUAUCCUGUCUCGAAGCUAGUAGUAAAUUUUCUCUUUUUUGCAUUGCAGUUGCCUUCUCUUAUUCCCAGUAUUUCUUUAAUCCUUGUUAGUCAUUGCUGCAUAGUUUUAGUUGGUACUUAGAGGAACUACCAUGUCCAUAUGGGAGAGUUCAUUGUCCAUGCUUAGGGAGGAAACAAGUUAUUAGAUGGCAAAAGAUGAAAAUAGAAAAUAUAAAAGAAGUUUCAGAUUAGAGAAAGCAAGCUGGCUGAAGGGUUCAGAGGUGACCCAGUCGUUUAAUAGAACAUAAAAGCAUUCAUUCCUAAGGGAGUUUUCAAAAGUUCCCUCAGCAUGGUGGGAGAGUAAAGAAGAAUUUGGUCAAACCAAUUUUCCAUACCAUACAGAAUGGGGCUCCAGAUCACUGUUGUGUUGUCUGUGUUUAUUAUUAUCAUCGUUUGAACUGAAAGAAAAAGUUACCCAGAAAGCUGGAGAACUAGUUGACAUUGUAGUUAAAUUAGUUUUCUAGUGCUGCCAUAACAAAUACCACAGUGUGUUUGGCUUAAACAACAUACAUUUAUUUUCUCACAGUUCUGGAGGAUGGAAGUCCAAUCAAGGUGUAGGCAGUUUUGGCUUCUUGUGGGGCCUCUUUUUGGCUUGUAGAUAGUUGCCUUCUUCUUCUUUUUUAAUAUUCAUUUUUUUUUAGUUGUAGUUAGACACAAUACCUCUAUUUAUCUAUCUAUCUAUCUACCUAUUUAUUUAUUUAUUUUUAUGUGGUGCUGAGGAUCGAACCCAGGGCCUCUCCUGUGCUAGGCAAGCGCUCUACCACUGAGCCACAACCCCAGCCCCAGAUAGUUGCCUUCCUUCCAUGUCCUCAGAUGGCCUUUCCUUUGUGUAAGUGCAUUUCUGGUACCUCUUCCGUUCUUUUACAAACAAUUCUCACAAAAGAUAAAAGAAGGAAGAAAAGAAGGAAGGAAGGGAGGGAGGGAAGGAGGAAGGGAGGAAAGGAAGGAAAUUGCUGAGAAAUAGACAAAAGGACACAAAAUCUAUAAAAGACCCCAACUCCAGAAAAGCCACACUGUUCUCCUGGGAGACAGACCACGCAAUGCCUAUCCUGUACGUUAUCUUCAUUUCUCACUUUUCCAAUAAGCUCAAUGCAAUUCAUUUGAAAUUUUCCCUGUGAGAUUGCAAGAACCAGUGACUGCAGAUUCCCAUGGUUACUUAGUCUCCCCGGGCCUCCUCUGCAUCAACAUCAAUGUCAGGAUAACAGCCUCUUUCUUUAUUCUGAUCCUUUCUCUUGUCCUCUGCAAAGCAUGGCAUCAUUUUUAACUGAUUGCCUUUUUGGAACCUCAGGCUAUCUCUGGAGGCUAACUUAUAUAUUCAUGGAGAGACCUCCAUUAGGGUUUCGUGGUAUGGUAUGAUGGGGAGGACUGCAGGGCUAAAAUCAUGAAAGGAAGGAAGCCUCCAGUCUUUAGGCCCAGCACACAAGAGCAUGGUUAAGAGAAGGCAAGUUGUGCUGCAGGCAAAUCUGCUUUCUGCACUCAACUUCCCAACCACCUCUGGGCAUCGGAUACUUCAUUCAAAUGCACUUGAGGCAAAGCACUCAAACACUCACUGAGUAUUUCCCUGGCAGAUUUCCAGUACUUCAUUCUUCUUGUUAAUGGUGACAGAGAAAAUUACACAAAGCAUUCAGGAUGUUGAUAUGCCACUUGCCUCACAGUUUACUUCAAAGCUUCUUCAGAGUUUUCUGAAUUUUACUUUCUGGAACAAAGAAUAUUAUUGGCAUAAGCAUCAAGUAUGCCAGUGAAGUUAGUCCUAGUGUUUUUGGUAAGCGAGUUCUGAAUUUUUAGGUCAGAAGCAAUCUGUCUUUUAGCAAUUAAAAGCCAAUGGCCAUGUAGUAACAAGUUUAGUCAAGUUUUGUUGGCACAGACUUAUUUCUCCAACUUACAGAUUCUCCAAUAGAAACAGCAAUAAAGUUUUUUUUUUAUUUGUUCUAAUUAGUUAUAUAUGACAGUAGAAUGCACUUUGACACAUCAUACAUAAAUGGAUUGUAAUUUCUCAUUCUUCUGGUUGUACAUGAUGUAGAAUCACACCAGUAGUGUAGUCAUGUAUGUACAUAGAGUAAUAAAUGUCAGGUUCAUUCUACUAUCCCUCCUACCUUCUUACCCCUCCACUCCCUUCACUCCCUCUACCUAAUUCAAAGUACCUCUAUUCUUCCCAAGUGCUGCCCACCUGUCAUGCUUGGCUAAAUUGUGAAUUAGUAUCCACAUGUCAGAGAAAACAUUUGGCCUUUAGGUUUGGGGGAUUGGCUUAUUUUAGCAUGAUAUUCUCCAGAUCUGUCCAUUUACUGCAAAUACCAUAAUUUCAUUCUUCUUUAAGUCUGAGUAGUAUUCCAUUGUGUAUAUAUAUCACAGUUUCUUUAUCCAUUCAUCUGUUGAAGGGCACUUAGAUUGGUUCCAUAAUUCAGCUAUUGUGAGUGGAGCUGCUUUAAACAUUGAUGUGGCUGUGUCACAGUAGUGUGCUGAUUUUAAGUCCUUGGGUAUAAACCAAGGAGUGAGAUAACUGGGUGUUAGGAUGACCUUAGGCCUGAGCCUAAGCAACUCCAUUUUAAAAACUCCAGUUUGAAACCUGCAGUUUCACCAGUUACCACCCACAGAUCCCUCCAGUAUAGCCACAAACAAGUGGCUUCCCCUCACCCUGAUAAACAGAGUGAAGCCCUUGACAGGCUGACAUCUCUUGAUAAGAGGGAAAGGCGAGAAGAUCAGGGUGGAGACCACCAGACCAGAUGUUUCUGACCCCAGAGUAAAUGAUGUCACUGAGAAAUCUGGUGGUAGCUGAUAAGGAUUGAAAGGGGGAUCAAAACCCCCCAAAUUUAGUAUAAAUGAUAGAGCAAAUGAACAGGGAUUCAGCCAGCCAAAACAUGGAUGCACUCGAGCUGGAGAACCUGAUAAAGACCUGAUAUCCCAUCACUUGUCAUCAUUUCCUGAGCCCCUGCAUGAUCCUCACCAUUCUCAAACUCUACCAACUCAUCUGGACCUUGGUGAGAGACACAACUUCUCCCUAUGACCCUCUCCUCAACCGGUCAUCCACUCCACACCAGGAAAAGCCUGCCUUGGUUCCAGACCUGGUCACUGCAGUCUGAGUGAGAGUGCAUCUUCUGGACUUAAAGCCUAAGGCUUAAGACUUUUGAACUUAACAUGCAGAGGAAAUGUCUGUCAUUAGCUUAUCAUGAUUAAGUGUGUUUUGCAGGGCUAAGAAUUAAUCUAGAAUUGUUUGCUGUGAAUUAAUUAUGUCUAUUGCAGUGCUUGGCAUUAAGGAUUGUCGUUUUCAUGAUUAAGAACCUAUAGAGUGAAAUUGUAUUGAGUAAUUUGAGUGAAUAAAGCAUUGAAAGGGGCAGAA
Marmota monax (woodchuck) is the source of this 4748-nucleotide long non-coding RNA. RefSeq lists it as uncharacterized. The transcript has 6 exons. Lineage: Eukaryota; Metazoa; Chordata; Mammalia; Rodentia; Sciuridae. The record is from RefSeq and is a predicted model, not a curated record.